This 345-nucleotide ribosomal RNA is filed under the name Triticum aestivum (bread wheat). RNAcentral describes it as "partial small subunit ribosomal RNA". The record is from RNAcentral. Lineage: Eukaryota; Viridiplantae; Streptophyta; Magnoliopsida; Poales; Poaceae.
AUGGGUGGGCUGCAUGGGGCUCUGGUGAGGGCGAAAAUCUUGUGCCGAGACCCGACCAAGAACAAUGGGGUGUUUGAAAUCUUCCGUGGCCUCAGCAGCUUGAUGAUGAGGGUGGAUCACGACCCAGGUGGCCCUCUGGCUCCACUGCCCCCAUCUUCCCCUCCACCGCGUCCUCCUUGUGACGACGACCGGGACGGUGACGAGGAGGAGUACGCCCCCAGCCUCAACACUGUUGAUUGGGACAUGGCGGGUAGCAAAUCGAAGGUGGCGACUACUGGUGGUGCGUCCUUGGCGGCGGUGGUGUCUUCGGGCCUGGCUGGGCACGCAGCAUCAUUGGUGGUCUAG